AGCCCAGAGCCUGAAUCAGUGUGUGUGUUAGUGGAAGCGUUUGGAAAGGCGCGCGAUACAGGGUGACAGCCCCGUACACAAAAAUGCACAUGCUGUGAGCUCGAUGAGUAGGGCGGGACACGUGGUAUCCUGUCUGAAUAUGGGGGGACCAUCCUCCAAGGCUAAAUACUCCUGACUGACCGAUAGUGAACCAGUACCGUGAGGGAAAGGCGAAAAGAACCCCGGCGAGGGGAGUGAAAAAGAACCUGAAACCGUGUACGUACAAGCAGUGGGAGCACAGAGCAAUCUGUGUGACUGCGUACCUUUUGUAUAAUGGGUCAGCGACUUAUAUUCUGUAGCAAGGUUAACCGAAUAGGGGAGCC
This 362-nucleotide ribosomal RNA is filed under the name Escherichia coli. RNAcentral describes it as "partial 23S ribosomal RNA". It matches the Rfam family "Bacterial large subunit ribosomal RNA", at positions 296 to 667 of the family's 2925-position model. The record is from RNAcentral. Lineage: Bacteria; Pseudomonadati; Pseudomonadota; Gammaproteobacteria; Enterobacterales; Enterobacteriaceae.